GACGAACGCUGGCGGCGUGCUUAACACAUGCAAGUCGAGCGGUAAGGCCCUUUCGGGGUACACGAGCGGCGAACGGGUGAGUAACACGUGGGUGACCUGCCUUUAGCUCUGGGAUAAGCCUGGGAAACUGGGUCUAAUACCGGAUACGACUCCGCGGUGCAUGCUGUGGGGUGGAAAGCCUUGUGCGGCUGGAGAUGGGCCCGCGGCUACCAGCUUGUUGGNGGGGUGAUGGCCUACCAAGGCGACGACGGGUAGCCGGCCUGAGAGGGCGACCGGCCACACUGGGACUGAGACACGGCCCAGACUCUACGGGAGGCAGCAGUGGGGAAUCUUGCGCAAUGGGCGAAAGCCUGACGCAGCGAC
This 363-nucleotide ribosomal RNA is filed under the name uncultured bacterium. RNAcentral describes it as "bacterial SSU rRNA". It matches the Rfam family "Bacterial small subunit ribosomal RNA", at positions 28 to 395 of the family's 1533-position model. The record is from RNAcentral.